RNAcentral lists this ribosomal RNA (291 nucleotides) under uncultured bacterium. RNAcentral describes it as "partial 16S ribosomal RNA". It matches the Rfam family "Bacterial small subunit ribosomal RNA", at positions 773 to 1060 of the family's 1533-position model. The record is from RNAcentral.
GUGGAUUAGAUACCCUGGUAGUCCAUGCUGUAAACGAUGAUUACUAGGUGUGGGGGGUCUGACCCCCUCCGUGCCGGAGUUAACACAAUAAGUAAUCCACCUGGGGAGUACGGCCGCAAGGCUGAAACUCAAAGGAAUUGACGGGGGCCCGCACAAGCAGUGGAGUAUGUGGUUUAAUUCGAAGCAACGCGAAGAACCUUACCAGGUCUUGACAUCCAACUAACGAAGUAGAGAUACAUUAGGUGCCCUUCGGGGAAAGUUGAGACAGGUGGUGCAUGGCUGUCGACAACU